AGCAAAUUAGGGUAUGAAUCAUGCCACCAACUCCUAAUCCAAAUAUUACCUUGUUUUACAAAUCCAUACUUGCUAUCUACUCAAAGCCAGAAGUAAAAUCACGUGAGUCUGGUCCAUGAAAUCUCAUUACUGAGAACACAAAGAACUAACACUAAUCCACUAAAAGUCUAUACGGAAACAUGGGAAUAAGCACAUAAAGUAUUAACUGGGCAUACAAAUAGAGAUCAUCAAGGGGUACAA
RNAcentral lists this long non-coding RNA (240 nucleotides) under Capsicum annuum. RNAcentral describes it as "long non-coding RNA (CANN_LNC019297)". The record is from RNAcentral. Lineage: Eukaryota; Viridiplantae; Streptophyta; Magnoliopsida; Solanales; Solanaceae.